This is a small nucleolar RNA of Notamacropus eugenii (tammar wallaby), 203 nucleotides long. Its record names the gene SNORA74. It matches the Rfam family "Small nucleolar RNA SNORA74". Rfam says of the family: U19 belongs to the H/ACA class of snoRNAs. snoRNAs bind a number of proteins (including dyskerin, Gar1p and Nop10p in the case of the H/ACA class) to form snoRNP complexes. This class are thought to guide the sites of modification of uridines to pseudouridines by forming direct base pairing interactions with substrate RNAs. Lineage: Eukaryota; Metazoa; Chordata; Mammalia; Diprotodontia; Macropodidae. The record is from Ensembl.
CCCAGUUAUUGUCAGCUGUCCAGGCCAACACCAUGCCUGUGACGGUGUUACAUUUCUGGGAGAGAAAUGCACUGUCGUCACCAAGGUCUUGUCACAUGGCACUGUUUUAGUGCCAAGGCUGACUGCCUUUAGAUAGUGCUUUGCACCACUGAGAGUGGAUUAACUUCCUUUAUGAAGUUAGUCCUAGUCUAGGUGCACACAUG